Molecule: ribosomal RNA, 501 nt
Filed under: uncultured bacterium
Lineage: Bacteria
Description: partial 16S ribosomal RNA
Rfam family: Bacterial small subunit ribosomal RNA
Source: RNAcentral
AACGAACGCUGGCGGCGCGUCUUAAGCAUGCAAGUCGAGCGGCAAGGUAGCAAUACCCUAGAGCGGCGGACUGGUGAGUAACGCGUGGGUGACCUGCCUUUGUGUUGGGGAUAGCAAUUAGAAAUAGUGGGUAAUAAAGAAUACGGUUACGGGACUAUGGUUCUGGAAAGAAAGGAGCUACGGCCCCGCACGAAGAUGGGCCCGCUUCCCAUUAGCUAGUUGGGGGUGUAACGGACAACCAAGGCGAUGAGGGGUAGCCGGACUGAAGGGUUGAACGGCCACAUUGGGACUAAGAUACGGCCCAAAAUCCUACGGGAGUCAGCAACUAAGAAUAUUACGCGAUGGACUAAAGGCUGACGGAGCGACGCCGCGUGGAUGAUGAAGGCCGUAAGGUUGUAAAGUACUUUUGUCAACGAAGAAUAAGUGUGGGAUGGAAUGCCCGCAUGAUUACGUUAGUUGGCGAAUAAGCCCCGGCUAAUUACGUGCCAGCAGCCGCGGUAA